UUUGUAUUCCCUCUGUUUGGAAUUAUUUGUCUUGGAAAUGGAUGUAUCUAGAACUAAAAUACGUCUAGAUACAUCCAUUUCUUUGACAAGUAAUUUCGAACGGAGGGAGUAUGUG
Triticum urartu is the source of this 115-nucleotide non-coding RNA. Lineage: Eukaryota; Viridiplantae; Streptophyta; Magnoliopsida; Poales; Poaceae. The record is from Rfam.